GUAGAACUUUAUCCAGAGCCAAUAAAAUUUCCAGACUCGUUAAUAACUUUCAGCAGAAGAAAAUGAAAUACCUUGAACUGGUGCAGCUUCUCCUGCUGCUCGAGGCUUAAAGCGCCCAAAUCGAGCUUCUCCAGAGUGUUUCUCUCCGCCAUCUAUGCGUCUCUGCGCCAGUGUCUCCAGGCACCUGAUGUUGACGUGCGUUACGCAUUCCGUUGCCAAGCAACAUACACUUAGAAUUUGUGCUAACGCGAUGUUUAAACUUGAUUGUGCUCAUUUGUGUGAUUUGAAUAUAGUAGUUUUAUGCAAAUAAAUAAAUAAAUAAACAUCUCCGUUUAUGGGCUCACUUCUCAGUGAGCUGAGUUGGAUGAUAUCAUUUAUGAUGAAAUGAUCAUAUAAUUUACUCCAUUUACCAACGCGUCAUGGCAAGCGGUGACUCACUGACUCUGCCUAACACCGAGACAGAUGGCAUGUAAAGCUGUUGUCCACCGGAAUGCAGCUGGUGUUUAGGAUUGGACUUGGAACCAUGUCAGCUGUUUCAGUAAUGUUACACAUUAAUAACACAUCUGCAAACCUGUACACACAAAAAGUGAAGAAAACAUCUAUAUUUUUUUCUGAACUGUGGAUUACUAUGCUGUUUGGAUGAAGAAAACUGUGGCCUGUACUUGUCUGAGAAUGGACACCAGCUUGCAUCAAAAAUCCCUGCCACUUUCUCCUGAUCAAGAGAGGGAGAGAGAAGAAAUAAUAAAGAAAGACUCUCAUGCGACCUCUUCUUGGUGUCCCCAGACCAUUUUGAAAACACCUGGUCUAAAGAGACAUGUAAUCUGUCUUUGAAAUCCAUUUUAUUUUUAUUCAAAUUCCC
Long non-coding RNA from Cyprinus carpio carpio, 859 nucleotides. The record is from Ensembl. Lineage: Eukaryota; Metazoa; Chordata; Actinopteri; Cypriniformes; Cyprinidae.